AGUGAACGCUGGCGGUAGGCCUAACACAUGCAAGUCGAACGGCAGCACAGUAAGAGCUUGCUCUUACGGGUGGCGAGUGGCGGACGGGUGAGGAAUACAUCGGAAUCUACUUUUUCGUGGGGGAUAACGUAGGGAAACUUACGCUAAUACCGCAUACGACCUACGGGUGAAAGCAGGGGAUCUUCUGACCUUGCGCGAUUGAAUGAGCCGAUGUCGGAUUAGCUAGUUGGCGGGGUAAAGGCCCACCAAGGCGACGAUCCGUAGCUGGUCUGAGAGGAUGAUCAGCCGCACUGGAGCUGGGACACGGUCCAGACUCCUACGGGAGGGAGCAGUGGGGAAUAUUGGACAAUGGGCGCAAGCCUGAUACAGCCAUACCGAGUGGGUGAAGAAGGCCUUCGGGUUGUAAAGCCCUUUUGUUGGGAAAGAAAAGCAGCAGGUUAAUACCCCGCUGCUCUGACGGUACCCAAAGAAUAAGCACCGGCUAACUUCGUG
This 492-nucleotide ribosomal RNA is filed under the name uncultured bacterium. RNAcentral describes it as "partial 16S ribosomal RNA". It matches the Rfam family "Bacterial small subunit ribosomal RNA", at positions 29 to 507 of the family's 1533-position model. The record is from RNAcentral.